Molecule: long non-coding RNA, 1000 nt
Filed under: Homo sapiens (human)
Lineage: Eukaryota; Metazoa; Chordata; Mammalia; Primates; Hominidae
Description: DHX9 antisense RNA 1
Source: RNAcentral
GCCGCCGCCCGCGCUUCGCAACAAAGCCGGCUGCGGAGCCAUGGUCCACGGCGCCCGCCCGCGACCCCGCCGCCCCGCAUGGUAGCCGGAACGUCUCUCCCUUACCAGCCUUCGCUUCCUGGUGCCCAGCUCUUAGGACCGUGUGUGACUCUGGCCUUCUACCGAGACAACAGAGAAACGCACAGCAACUCGCAUGGAGGAAUCGGCGAAAUGGCUCCGACCGCGGCGCUAGGGGGCGGGGCCAGCGAGCGGUGUUGAAAGCAGCAGGGGCCUAGAAGACAUUAAACCGAUACCACAGAAAUACAAAGGAUCAUUAGAGACUAUUAUGAACAACUAUAUGCCAACAAAUUGGAAACCAAAUGGAAAUGGAUAAAUUCCUGAACAGAUACAACUUACCAAAAUUGGACCAAGAAGAAAUAGAAAACCUGAAAAGACCAACUAUGAGUAAUGAGAUUAAAUCAGUAAUAUAGAGUCUCCCAUCAAAGAAAAGUCCAGGCCCUGAUGGCUUCACUGCUGAAUUCUACUGAACAGUUAAAGAAGAACUCAUACCAGUUCUCAAACUCAUCCUGUGAGGGCAGCAUUACCCUGAUACCAAAACUAGAUAUGGACACAAGAAAAAAAAUCUAUAGGCCAGUAUCCCUGAUGAACAUAGAUGCAAGAAUCCUCAACAAGACCAGGUGUGGUGGUUCAUGCCUGUAAUCCCAGCACUUUGGGAGGCCAAGGCAGGUGGAUCACCUGAGGUCAGGAAUUUGAGACCAGCCUGGCCAACAUGGCAAAACCCUGUCUGUACUAAAAAUACAAAAAUUAGCCGGGCAAGGUGGCGUGUGCCUGUAAUCCUAGCUACUUGGGAGGCUGAGGCAGGAGAAUUGCUUGAACCUGGAGGGAGGAGGGGCAGAAGUUGCAGCGAGCUCAGAUCGUCCCACUGCACUCCAGCCUGGGUGACAGAGUGAGACUCCAUCUCAAAAUAAGUAAAUAAAUAAAGAGACUCAACUAGCAUAAA